GGAAUAUUGCACAAUGGGCGCAAGCCUGAUGCAGCCAUGCCGCGUGUAUGAAGAAGGCCUUCGGGUUGUAAAGUACUUUCAGCGGGGAGGAAGGUGAGUGACGGUACCUGCAGAAGAAGGUCCGGCCAACUACGUGCCAGCAGCCGCGGUAAUACGUAGGGACCGAGCGUUGUCCGGGUUCAUUGGGCGUAAAGAGCUCGUAGGCGGCUGCUCAAGUCGAAUGUGAAAACUCGAGGCUCAACCUCGAGCCUGCAUUCGAUACUGGGCGGCUAGAGUCUGGUAGGGGGAUCUGGAAUUCCUGGUGUAGCGGUGGAAUGCGCAGAUAUCAGGAGGAACACCGGUGGCGAAGGCGGGAUCCUGGGCCAGUACUGACGCUGAGGAGCGAAAGCGUGGGGAGCAAACAGGA
This 406-nucleotide unclassified non-coding RNA is filed under the name plant metagenome. RNAcentral's name for it is "partial contains 5.8S ribosomal RNA, internal transcribed spacer 2, and large subunit ribosomal RNA". It matches the Rfam family "Bacterial small subunit ribosomal RNA", at positions 358 to 777 of the family's 1533-position model. The record is from RNAcentral.